This 532-nucleotide long non-coding RNA is filed under the name Gadus morhua (Atlantic cod). RNAcentral describes it as "lncRNA (ENSGMOG00000028883.1)". Lineage: Eukaryota; Metazoa; Chordata; Actinopteri; Gadiformes; Gadidae. The record is from RNAcentral.
GUCACGUGGUCCGAUGCGUUCCGGCCGGCGACCUCGUCUUCGUGCCGUGCCCGAGUCCAUUGCUCCCCGACGACGCAGAGGUGAAAUUCCAGCUCGACCAGUCAGAAAAGAUGGCGCACUACCGCUUCAACGGAUCGAGAUGGAAUCGCUCGGAGCUCGACGCCGGGCUGGAGGAAAACGUGACGAUGGCAAAGAGACGGACGGGGAUCAGUGUCAAGAUGCACUUGAACACGACGGCGUCGGACGGGUGGGCGCGGUUCGCGCUCAUCGGGGUCGCCGCGGAGGACAGCGGCCUUUAUCGGUGCAGCGCCACGGUCAUCCACCCCCCCCCCGGGUUGAUCCUCCGCAACGCGUCCACAGUGGACCUCCGCCUGGAAGGGCACCAGUGCGAGGCCCCUGUGGUCUGUGGCCCCCCCGGUCUCCGGGCCCCCUGAGUGUCUCUCGAUCUGGAUCUGGAUCGGGGCGAUGGCCGCCCUGGGCGUGUAUGCCCUGCUCGUCACCGUCGUGGCCACGGUCAAAAUUGUCCGGGUAA